RNAcentral lists this ribosomal RNA (746 nucleotides) under uncultured bacterium. RNAcentral's name for it is "bacterial SSU rRNA". It matches the Rfam family "Bacterial small subunit ribosomal RNA", at positions 8 to 796 of the family's 1533-position model. The record is from RNAcentral.
AGAGUUUGAUCCUGGCUCAGGAUGAACGCUGGCGGUAUGCUUAACACAUGCAAGUCGAACGGUGUCUUCGGACACAGUGGCGGACGGGUGAGUAACGCGUGAGAAUCUGGCUUUAGGUCUGGGAUAACCACUGGAAACGGUGGCUAAUACCAGAUGUGCCCUGCGGGGUGAAAGAUUAAUUGCCUGAAGAUGAGCUCGCGUCUGAUUAGCUAGUAGGUGGUGUAAUAGACUACCUGGGCGACGAUCAGUAGCUGGUCUGAGAGGACGAUCAGCCACACUGGGACUGAGACACGGCCCAGACUCCUACGGGAGGCAGCAGUGGGGAAUUUUCCGCAAUGGGCGAAAGCCUGACGGAGCAAUACCGCGUGAGGGAGGAAGGCUCUUGGGUCGUAAACCUCUUUUCUCAGGGAAGAACACAAUGACGGUACCUGAGGAAUAAGCAUCGGCUAACUCCGUGCCAGCAGCCGCGGUAAUACGGAGGAUGCAAGCGUUAUCCGGAAUGAUUGGGCGUAAAGCGUCCGCAGGUGGCUGUGUAAGUCUGCUGUUAAAGAGUCUAGCUCAACUAGAUACAAGCAGUGGAAACUACACGGCUAGAGUACGUUCGGGGCAGAGGGAAUUCCUGGUGUAGCGGUGAAAUGCGUAGAGAUCAGGAAGAACACCAGUGGCGAAGGNGCUCUGCUAGGCCGUAACUGACACUGAGGGACGAAAGCUAGGGGAGCGAAUGGGAUUAGAUACCCUAGUAGUCC